This 465-nucleotide ribosomal RNA is filed under the name uncultured bacterium. RNAcentral's name for it is "bacterial SSU rRNA". It matches the Rfam family "Bacterial small subunit ribosomal RNA", at positions 338 to 795 of the family's 1533-position model. The record is from RNAcentral.
CCUACGGGCGGCAGCAGUGGGGAAUAUUGCACAAUGGGCGCAAGCCUGAUGCAGCCAUGCCGCGUGUAUGAAGAAGGCCUUCGGGUUGUAAAGUACUUUCAGCGGGGAGGAAGGUGUUGUGGUUAAUAACCGCAGCAAUUGACGUUACCCGCAGAAGAAGCACCGGCUAACUCCGUGCCAGCAGCCGCGGUAAUACGGAGGGUGCAAGCGUUAAUCGGAAUUACUGGGCGUAAAGCGCACGCAGGCGGUCUGUCAAGUCGGAUGUGAAAUCCCCGGGCUCAACCUGGGAACUGCAUUCGAAACUGGCAGGCUAGAGUCUUGUAGAGGGGGGUAGAAUUCCAGGUGUAGCGGUGAAAUGCGUAGAGAUCUGGAGGAAUACCGAUGGCGAAGGCAGCCCCCUGGGACGUGACUGACGCUCAUGCACGAAAGCGUGGGGAGCAAACAGGAUUAGAUACCCCUGUAGUC